AAAAUUCUUUUCUUUACAAAUGUUGAAGUUUAGUGGCAGCACUGCCUCUGCUCCCCGGUCCCAGCCUCAAGCAGCCCUGAGGAUGGGCUGCCCUUGGUGGCAACUGUGGGUGGGCUGCUGGUGCUGGACACGCACAGGCAGAAAGUGCUGUUCCACUCACUGUUCUGGAGUGCUGAGCCAUGGUGGUGUUAGUGCAGCAUUUCCUGUGUUACAUCUGCAAGGAAUACGUAAAGGAUCUGGCCAAAAUCCCCAAGAGUUUCUUACAAAAAGCAAAUGUCACCCUCAUGGUGAUUGGACAGUCAUCCUAUCAUCAUAUAGAGCCUUUUUUGCAAACUGACUGGAUAUUCUCAUAAAAUGUAUGUCGAUACUAAGAGGGAAAUUUAUAUAAGAUUGGGAAUGAAAAGAGGUGCAGAAAUUGCUUUCUCAGGACAGAGUCCCCACAUAAAUUCAAAUCUACUCUCAGAAGCCUUCAGAACCUGUGAUAGGCAGUAACUGGAACUCUCUUUGAUUCUCAAGGAGGCCCAUUUCAGCAAGGUGAAACUCUCAUUUUAGGUCCAUGUAACAACAUUCAUUUUUAUACACUGUGAUAGGAAUAGGUUGGAUCACAAACCUAUCAACUCUAUUUUACAGCUUGUAGGAGUUCAGCAUUUGAACUUUACAAACAAACAGUCUUUCAGUUAUCCAUGUAUGACUUAACAUGGAAUCAGUCACUUUCAACUGGACUUUCUGGAAUGUGACCUUCAAUGCUGGGCUGUAAUAUCCUUGUACAGUGUCUAACUUGCUGUCCCUUCCCAGCCUUUGAGGACUUAGGGAAGCAUAAAGAGCCCUUGAACCAGUUGAACUGCCUGCUGAGAAGCAUCAGUUGUCAAAAAUGUAAUACAUACUUCCAUUUUAUAGCUUUUAAAAUGUUAUACAAAAUAACAAAAAUGAAUAUACAAAAUAUAACUUUAAAAGCUAUAAAACCAUAAUUACCAUUUAAAGUAUUUUACGUUAUGGUAUAUUCAGUCUUGAAAGAUUUUUUGGCAAUUAAUAUAAAUUCUGAUAAAGAAUAUAUAAAGGGAGGGGAGAUACACAAGACCAUUGUAUUCAGUGAAAAAAGCAAAAUAUCAAAUUCUGUCAACAAUAUAACAGCAUUUUUAUAUGUAUAUGUUUGUUUGUAUUUUUGUAUGCUUAGGGAAAAGACAGAAAAUAAACACCAAAAUGUUGCUAGUA
Molecule: RNA transcript, 1212 nt
Organism: Sapajus apella (tufted capuchin)
Lineage: Eukaryota; Metazoa; Chordata; Mammalia; Primates; Cebidae
Gene name: peroxiredoxin-like 2C pseudogene
Exons: 1
Source: RefSeq, a predicted model, not a curated record